This 513-nucleotide ribosomal RNA is filed under the name uncultured bacterium. RNAcentral's name for it is "partial 16S ribosomal RNA". It matches the Rfam family "Bacterial small subunit ribosomal RNA", at positions 28 to 507 of the family's 1533-position model. The record is from RNAcentral.
GACGAACGCUGGCGGCGUGCUUAACACAUGCAAGUCGAACGAGAGCGUAGAGAAAGCUUGCUUUUUCUACAAUCUAGUGGCAAACGGGUGAGUAACGCGUAAACAACCUGCCCUACGGAUGGGGACAACAGCUGGAAACGGCUGCUAAUACCGAAUACGUUCCGAAAGUCGCAUGACUAUCGGAAGAAAGGAUGGCCUCUAUUUAUAAGCUAUCGCCGGAGGAGGGGUUUGCGUCUGAUUAGCUAGUUGGAGGGGUAACGGCCCACCAAGGCGACGAUCAGUAGCCGAUCUGAGAGGAUGAACGGCCACAUUGGAACUGAGACACGGUCCAGACUCCUACGGGAGGCAGCAGUGGGGAAUCUUCCGCAAUGGGCGAAAGCCUGACGGAGCAACGCCGCGUGAGUGAAGACGGCCUUCGGGUUGUAAAGCUCUGUUAUACGGGACGAAUAAUCUUGUGGUUAAUACCCAUGAGAAGUGACGGUACCGUAAGAGAAAGCCACGGCUAACUACGUG